Molecule: ribosomal RNA, 368 nt
Filed under: uncultured bacterium
Lineage: Bacteria
Description: bacterial SSU rRNA
Rfam family: Bacterial small subunit ribosomal RNA
Source: RNAcentral
GACGAACGCUGGCGGUGUGCUUCACACAUGCAAGUCGAACGGAGUAGCAAUACUCAGUGGCGGACGGGUGAGUAACACGUGGGAAUCUACCAUUAGAUGGGGAAUAACAGGCCGAAAGGACUGCUAAUGCCGCAUAUGUAUGUGCCUCGACAGGGGCGUAUAUGAAAGGAGUAAUCCGUCUGAUGAUGAGCCCGCGUCCGAUUAGCUAGUUGGUAAGGUAAAAGCUUACCAAGGCGACGAUCGGUAGGUGGUCUGAGAGGAUGAUCACCCACAAUGGGACUGAGACACGGCCCAUACUCCUACGGGAGGCAGCAGUGGGGGAAUUUUACGCAAUGGGGGAAACCCUGACGUAGCGACACCGCGUGAGC